ACCUAUGGCCAUACCACCCUGAGAAUGCCUGAUCUUGUCUGGUCUCAGAAGCUAAGCAGGGUUGGGCCUGGUUGGUACUUGGAUUGGAGACUGCCUGGGAGCACUACGUGCUGUAGGCU
This 119-nucleotide ribosomal RNA is filed under the name Acanthisitta chloris (rifleman). Lineage: Eukaryota; Metazoa; Chordata; Aves; Passeriformes; Acanthisittidae. The record is from RNAcentral.